Mustela lutreola (European mink) is the source of this 684-nucleotide long non-coding RNA. RefSeq lists it as uncharacterized. The transcript is spliced from 3 exons. Lineage: Eukaryota; Metazoa; Chordata; Mammalia; Carnivora; Mustelidae. The record is from RefSeq and is a predicted model, not a curated record.
CGGGUGAGCCGUGCUGGCAGCUGCUGCCUCCAGCCACGGUGGCCGCAGACUGGAGACCAAAGGCCGGGUCCGCCGCGUCCCUGCGGGUCACCUGGCAGGCUCAGCGGCUUGUCAGCAGGGUGGAUCGGACCUACUGAGGGAGCUGCGUGUUUGUGCAGUUACGACUGACCUCCGAAGGGAGGGUUCAGAGAGGCCAGGAAGGUCGGACCUUCCGGCCAAAGUGUGACUUGGCCACUGAAAGGCGAGGUGGACCAGCAGAGCAGGCCCAGGAUUGCACGCCAUUUCGUGUAUAGACCAUGUGGUCUCCAUCCAUUCAUCCAUUGGGUGCUCUCAAAAGUGUUUCAACUUUCCGCUUUGAAAAUCUCAAGGGAUGGAAACACUAAAAGAAUAACACCGUGAAGCAUCUUGACCGGCCUCCUCCACGCGUGGUGUUGUCUGCACAUCAGGGCGUCUGACCAGGAAGGCUGCGAUCAGUUUGUGCUUCGAUUAGCCAUGGGAAUUGGGAUCUCUUGGUGAGGUGGGGGUUUCGACACUUUUCAGAUGUCACUUACUGGAAAGAGUUUGUUACCACGAUUUGCUCCCUGGAGCAUCCAGGUGGCUGGAGAGGGUGUCUGGCUUCAGGAGGGCCCUUCUUAAAUCCUCCAGAAGAGAGCUGAGUGUCUGCCAGUUGCCCAGAACUUAAAA